Molecule: RNA transcript, 2672 nt
Organism: Gossypium raimondii (Peruvian cotton)
Lineage: Eukaryota; Viridiplantae; Streptophyta; Magnoliopsida; Malvales; Malvaceae
Exons: 4
Source: RefSeq, a predicted model, not a curated record
UUCAACAAAAAUAAUUACUAUUAAACCAACAAAAGAAAUCCCUAGAAGCCUAAAGAAAAGGGGGGAAAGAUGAGGCCGAUGCCGAUGGAAUUCGUGACGGACCCAGACGACCAAGGUUGAGCCAUGGAAGUCAACGAUGUUGACACACCGGAGAUCUUCGGCGAAGGCGUCGUCGCUUCCGACGAUUUUGAUGACUCCGAUAUCGACUAAAAAAAUAAAGAAGAAUCGUUUCAAGUCUUCGGGUUCAACUACAUAAUACAAAUUCCACCUCUGAACUUCAUUUUUCCUUCAAAAUAAAGCUUCGAUUUGAUCUCUUUUAGUGAGACAAAUGCUGAAAAUCUUAUGCAUGCUUUACAAUAUAACAGCUAUGGCGGAGGCGCUGCUGCUUUGAAGGGACUUGAUUUUAUAACGCUGUGAAUUUUUGUGCUUUUUACAGCAUGUUGAAGUUCCGAUCCUAACUCCAAAUAAAGACUGGUCAAGCUAUGGCAAGUGUUCUCAAUGUUGUACAAACAUCUCAUUCGUAUGGGGAUUUAAUGCUUCUAAUGAAAGCUGCUGAACUGCAACAAGUGUGUGCUUCUCUUGGUGGUUUUUUUUUUACUACGUUUUUAAGUGAUAAAACUUAUGUUAACUUUGUGCGGAAUCGGGUUUCGUAACACAUGAUGCAUCUGAAUAUCUAUUUGUUUUAUUGUUAAUAAUUCUUUUAACAUUUUAACUUAUCAUAGAUGCUAUGUUUUGAUUUAGCAUUCUUGUUUAUCAUUUAAAGAAAUUGUCUAGAAUUUUAAUAGCAAAAAUUGGAAUUUUUUUUAUUGUUGUCUAUGUUUUACUUGUGAAUUGUGAUUGCAAUGGUUUACCUUCCUUUGGUGUAAAAUCUACUUGGCCAAUUGGAAUGUUCAAUGAUUUAUUUAGCCCUUGUACUCAGCAAUAUUACUUCUAAUUGUACUGCAACACAUCUAUAUGCCCAUUUCUUACCUGUAAUCAUGUUGCAUAUGCUUUGGCUUUUUAAAUCGUGAAUCAUGAUUAAUGAAAAUGAGAUGGAUAGCUGAUGCCUUUCCUGAUUUUCAGGUUUGACAAGGAACUGAACAAGUAAGUUGCUAUUAAAGUUAUUGAUUUAGAAGAAUCUUAAGUGGAUACCUUUGUUAUAUUUUCCUUGAUUUAUUCCUCAUUAAAGUGUCUUGUAGCAGGUGCUUGCUAUGAGCAGAAAAGUAUGAAUGAAUGUGAUUAUCAACUUUACAAAUAUACAUAGUAAAGUUUAAAGUAUGAAUCGAAUUGCUAUGAGCAGCAAAUUUAGGGAUAAAACAAUGUCACACCAAAUUGCUAUGAGGAACAAAGAAAAUUUUUUUAAUUGCAGAAAACCAACUUCCCCUUUCCCAUACUGCCAGAAAAUUUAGGGACUGCACGACUUGUGGUUGAUUUUGAUAGGUGGUGGACUGGUGAGGAAUCUGUGAAUGUUCUCUUAGAAGCCGCAGGCCAAGGUAAAGUCUUCCCUUUCCAGAUUCGGAACUUAAUUUAUUUAUUUUUAUUAUUUUAGAAUUUUUAUAUUUAUAAUUUUUUUUCCUUAUCCUAAAUUUUUUUUCUUGAAAAUCACAAAUUAAUUUUAUUAAUUUAAGACAGUCUAAUAAGUUUAUAUUUGAAUUUUUUAGACAACCGUAUUUUCUUUUUCUAUUUCCCACACUUGGGUAUGAUAAUGGUAGCAGUGAAGUAGAGGUUCUCACACCGAAAAAGGUGAAUAAAAUCACAAGUUUCCCUCUCAUUAUCAUUUUCCUAAAAUGAAAUCAUUUUGACUUCUUUUUAUGAAGACUUUCGUGAUACAAUCCCAUUUAUCAUUCAUACAUACCUACGUGUAUAUAUAUAUUAGAUUAUAUACAUGCACGACAUGAAUGAAAUUGAUAUAAUAAUUAAAUAUGGUAAUACUUGAGUUAUUAAAAACUAUAAUAUUUUGAGUUUGAGUCCUAUAAAUAUAUUUUGAGAAAUUAUUUUGUCAAUUGCUGGUGGAGUUUUUACAGCGUUGAAAUGCUAUCAUGUGUCCUAAAAAAAAUUAAAAAUAAAUUAAAACAAGCAUGUGCCAUGAACUAAAUCUUUGUUUUGAGCAGGUAAGUCCAUGGAACAAUUUUUUAUCCUUGUAGUUCAUGUUUUAUUUUGAUUUUUCUGUGAUUAAACUCUAGUACUCAGGGCAGUAGUUGUUGGGAUGUAAAAUCUGUUGUCUAUCUGCCUCAAUAUAUGACAAAAGGCAAAAGUACAUAUUGGAGAUACUCUCACAUGCACAUUCAUUCGUUUGAAACACGAUAUCUAGUUAUUUGUCUUUGAACUGAGUUGAAGUACAUAUCUAGUUGCCUUAUGCCCUAUUUUCGUUUAAGGACUGCCAAGGAAAUUCUGAAACUGAAAGCUGAUUGAUCGGAUGUGUAUGCCGGCUUUCAUCAACUACUUUCGAAGGCCAAUAUAGGAAUUGAAAUGGUGUGCAAAGAGAUUGCUUCUUCUGAUCUGAUUUUUCGAUAUAAAUACUGGACAAAGUAUGGAUAUUUUACUGCUGUUAGUAAAAUAGGAUUCUCUUCUUAGGAUCUUAGUUUCUUCACUUGUAUUAGACUCAACAAUGGCUUGCAUUGCAUUGGUGUUGAUUUUACCAAAAUUUCGAGGUUUACAAUUUUUAAUUUUUAUUAAUUAUUUACGUUUUCUCA